This 253-nucleotide ribosomal RNA is filed under the name uncultured bacterium. RNAcentral describes it as "partial 16S ribosomal RNA". It matches the Rfam family "Bacterial small subunit ribosomal RNA", at positions 524 to 776 of the family's 1533-position model. The record is from RNAcentral.
UACGUAUGGGGCAAGCGUUAUCCGGAUUUACUGGGUGUAAAGGGAGCGUAGGCGGCCUGGCAAGCCUGAUGUGAAAUACCGGGGCCCAACCCCGGGGCUGCAUUGGGAACUGCCAGGCUGGAGUGCCGGAGAGGCAGGCGGAAUUCCUAGUGUAGCGGUGAAAUGCGUAGAUAUUAGGAGGAACACCAGUGGCGAAGGCGGCCUGCUGGACGAUGACUGACGUUGAGGCUCGAAAGCGUGGGGAGCAAACAGG